Molecule: ribosomal RNA, 461 nt
Filed under: uncultured bacterium
Lineage: Bacteria
Description: partial 16S ribosomal RNA
Rfam family: Bacterial small subunit ribosomal RNA
Source: RNAcentral
CCUACGGGUGGGCAGCAGUGAGGAAUAUUGGUCAAUGGGCGGAAGCCUGAACCAGCCAAGUCGCGUGAGGGAUUAAGGCCCUGCGGGUCGUAAACCUCUUUUGCCGGGGAGCAGAGGUCCGGACGUGUCCGGGCCGGGAGAGUACCCGGAGAAAAAGCAUCGGCUAACUCCGUGCCAGCAGCCGCUGUAAUACGGAGGAUGCGAGCGUUAUCCGUAUUUAUUGGGUUUAAGGGGUGCGUAGGCGGUCCGUUAAGUCAGCGGGAAAAUUGCGGGGCUCAACCCCGUCGAGCCGUUGAAACUGGCAGACUUGAGUUGGCGAGAAGUACGCGGAAUGCGCGGUGUAGCGGUGAAAUGCAUAGAUGUCGCGCAGAACUCCGAUUGCGAAGGCAGCGUACCGGCGCCAGACUGACGCUGAGGCACGAAAGCGUGGGGAUCGAACAGGAUUAGAUACCCCUGUAGUC